RNAcentral lists this ribosomal RNA (352 nucleotides) under uncultured bacterium. RNAcentral describes it as "bacterial LSU rRNA". It matches the Rfam family "Bacterial large subunit ribosomal RNA", at positions 114 to 487 of the family's 2925-position model. The record is from RNAcentral.
CCGAAUGGGGCAACCCAGCAUAUGGAGACAUAUGUUACCAGAAAUGGAGCUAACCCGGUGAAGUGAAACAUCUCAGUAACCGGAGGAAGAGAAAUCAAAUGAGAUUCCCAUAGUAGCGGCGAGCGAACUGGGAUUAGGACAAACCCUAUGCUUGCAUAGGGGGUUGUAGGACCAAGAUGUGAGAUCAAAGAAGAUAGAUGAAAUAGUUGGAAAGCUAUAGUAUAAAGGGUGAUACUCCCGUAAUCGAAAUCUUCAAUGACUCUAUUGGUAUCCUGAGUAGGUCGGAACACGUGAUAUUUUGACUGAAUCUGGGGGGACCACCCUCCAAUCCUAAAUACUACUUACAGAUCGA